This 210-nucleotide ribosomal RNA is filed under the name uncultured Chloroflexota bacterium. Its description in RNAcentral is "uncultured Chloroflexi bacterium partial 16S ribosomal RNA". It matches the Rfam family "Bacterial small subunit ribosomal RNA", at positions 1173 to 1382 of the family's 1533-position model. The record is from RNAcentral. Lineage: Bacteria; Bacillati; Chloroflexota.
GGUGGGAUGACGUCAAGUCAGCAUUGGCCUUUAUAUCUUGGGCUACACACACGCUACAAUGGAUGGCACAAUAGGUUGCAACAGCGCGAGCUGAAGCUAAUCCCCAAAGCCAUCCUCAGUACAGAUUGCAGGCUGAAACCCGCCUGCAUGAAGUCGGAGUUGCUAGUAACCGCAAAUCAGCAUGUUGCGGUGAAUACGUUCUCGGGCCUU